Molecule: ribosomal RNA, 1490 nt
Filed under: uncultured bacterium
Lineage: Bacteria
Description: bacterial SSU rRNA
Rfam family: Bacterial small subunit ribosomal RNA
Source: RNAcentral
AGAGUUUGAUCCUGGCUCAGGAUGAACGCUAGCUACAGGCUUAACACAUGCAAGUCGAGGGGCAGCAUUUUAGUUUGCUUGCAAACUAAAGAUGGCGACCGGCGCACGGGUGAGUAACACGUAUCCAACCUGCCGAUAACUCGGGGAUAGCCUUUCGAAAGAAAGAUUAAUAUCCGAUAGUAUAUUAAAACCGCAUGGUUUUACUAUUAAAGAAUUUCGGUUAUCGAUGGGGAUGCGUUCCAUUAGUUUGUUGGCGGGGUAACGGCCCACCAAGACUACGAUGGAUAGGGGUUCUGAGAGGAAGGUCCCCCACAUUGGAACUGAGACACGGUCCAAACUCCUACGGGAGGCAGCAGUGAGGAAUAUUGGUCAAUGGACGAGAGUCUGAACCAGCCAAGUAGCGUGAAGGAUGACUGCCCUAUGGGUUGUAAACUUCUUUUAUAUGGGAAUAAAGUAUUCCACGUGUGGAAUUUUGUAUGUACCAUAUGAAUAAGGAUCGGCUAACUCCGUGCCAGCAGCCGCGGUAAUACGGAGGAUCCGAGCGUUAUCCGGAUUUAUUGGGUUUAAAGGGAGCGUAGGUGGAUUGUUAAGUCAGUUGUGAAAGUUUGCGGCUCAACCGUAAAAUUGCAGUUGAAACUGGCAGUCUUGAGUACAGUAGAGGUGGGCGGAAUUCGUGGUGUAGCGGUGAAAUGCUUAGAUAUCACGAAGAACUCCGAUUGCGAAGGCAGCUCACUAGACUGCAACUGACACUGAUGCUCGAAAGUGUGGGUAUCAAACAGGAUUAGAUACCCUGGUAGUCCACACAGUAAACGAUGAAUACUCGCUGUUUGCGAUAUACAGUAAGCGGCCAAGCGAAAGCAUUAAGUAUUCCACCUGGGGAGUACGCCGGCAACGGUGAAACUCAAAGGAAUUGACGGGGGCCCGCACAAGCGGAGGAACAUGUGGUUUAAUUCGAUGAUACGCGAGGAACCUUACCCGGGCUUAAAUUGCAUUUGAAUAAUCUGGAAACAGGUUAGCCGCAAGGCAAAUGUGAAGGUGCUGCAUGGUUGUCGUCAGCUCGUGCCGUGAGGUGUCGGCUUAAGUGCCAUAACGAGCGCAACCCUUAUCUUUAGUUACUAACAGGUUAUGCUGAGGACUCUAGAGAGACUGCCGUCGUAAGAUGUGAGGAAGGUGGGGAUGACGUCAAAUCAGCACGGCCCUUACGUCCGGGGCUACACACGUGUUACAAUGGGGGGUACAGAAGGCAGCUACCUGGCGACAGGAUGCUAAUCCCAAAAACCUCUCUCAGUUCGGAUCGAAGUCUGCAACCCGACUUCGUGAAGCUGGAUUCGCUAGUAAUCGCGCAUCAGCCAUGGCGCGGUGAAUACGUUCCCGGGCCUUGUACACACCGCCCGUCAAGCCAUGAAAGCCGGGGGUACCUGAAGUACGUAACCGCAAGGAGCGUCCUAGGGUAAAACUGGUAAUUGGGGCUAAGUCGUAACAAGGUAGCC